Pelobates cultripes (western spadefoot toad) is the source of this 474-nucleotide non-coding RNA. The record is from the annotation of a GenBank genome assembly. NCBI's taxonomy places the organism in Eukaryota, Metazoa, Chordata, Amphibia, Anura, Pelobatidae.
CCUAACCUGAUUUUGAAUAUGCUCAAACAGAUAUUUAUUUGCUGGAGCCUGGACGUUAGCCAGUCUGCUCAUAUACCACUGCACGUAUAGCAGAUAGCAGUGGGGGAUGCCCGGGGAUAUAGGCACGACAGUAUUUGCAAGCAGUUAAUCACUUAUUAGUUUAGCAUGUUCUUAUUAUUUGAGUUAAUUUUACACAACAGGGAACUACUGAGCCUGCGAAAUCACCCUAUACAAAACUUGCUCACUUAACCUAUUACAAUUAGUCAAUGUUAAGCGACUUAAAUUGCAUAUUGCCUAAACCUGUUUACAAAAGCAACAUUAAACCAUAAAACAUAAAAAGAGGUACAAAUAUUAAGGAAAUGUUAGAUACCACUGUUAUUGAGCCCUGUACUGUAUUCUAAAUGCACGUUUCCCUCUCUCUAUUCUGUAUCCCAUCUAAUAUGCCUCAAUAAAAUACAGAUUGACAAAAAAAAA